RNAcentral lists this ribosomal RNA (254 nucleotides) under uncultured bacterium. RNAcentral's name for it is "partial 16S ribosomal RNA". It matches the Rfam family "Bacterial small subunit ribosomal RNA", at positions 524 to 776 of the family's 1533-position model. The record is from RNAcentral.
UACGUAGGGUGCGAGCGUUAAUCGGAAUUACUGGGCGUAAAGCGUGCGCAGGCGGUCUGUUAAGACCGAUGUGAAAUCCCCAGGCUUAACCUGGGAACUGCAUUGGUGACUGGCAGGCUUUGAGUGUGGCAGAGGGAGGUAGAAUUCCACGUGUAGCAGUGAAAUGCGUAGAGAUGUGGAGGAACACCAAUGGCGAAGGCAGAUCUCUGGGCCGUAACUGACACUGAGAGACGAAAGCUAGGGGAGCGAAUGGG